UAAAAAUCAAAUUAUUAACUUUAUGACUUUAUAAUUAUAAAUUAUUUACUUACAUUCUAUUAACAUAUCAUAAUAGUAUUAUUUUAAUUUAAUUCAAUAAUUUUUCUAAUAAAGAUUUAAUUAAUAAAAAUUAAUAUAUAUUAUAUAAAACUUAUAACAAAAAGAUAAAAUUAACAUCCGUGCAUUGCACGGAUUAGUUGCUAGUUGCUUUAAGGGAAUGUUUGGUUCGAAGUUGGAAUCGGAAUCGGAAUCGGAAUCGAAAUAAGCUGGAAUCGGAAUCGGAAUGACUCAUUACCUAAUUCUGUUUGGUUCGUUACCUGAAUCGGAAUAGGAAUAAAUCAUUUCCAUUAUCGGUGUUUGGUUCAGGUAGGUAUAAAAAACGUAAUCAAAUUAAUAUACUAACUUUAUCUUUAUAAUAUAUUAAUUUAAAUUCAAAUUAAAAAUUAAAUAUUAAAAAUUUAGAUCAAAAUUUU
RNAcentral lists this long non-coding RNA (473 nucleotides) under Ananas comosus (pineapple). RNAcentral's name for it is "long non-coding RNA (ACOM_LNC016677)". The record is from RNAcentral. Lineage: Eukaryota; Viridiplantae; Streptophyta; Magnoliopsida; Poales; Bromeliaceae.